Oncorhynchus nerka (sockeye salmon) is the source of this 4361-nucleotide long non-coding RNA. RefSeq lists it as uncharacterized. The transcript has 2 exons. The record is from RefSeq and is a predicted model, not a curated record. NCBI's taxonomy places the organism in Eukaryota, Metazoa, Chordata, Actinopteri, Salmoniformes, Salmonidae.
AAUUCAUCUCUUCAGGGAAAUAAUCAAAGUAAUGGCCUAUAGGAAUGAACGAGAAGGAUCAGUAAGAGGAUACAUACAUAAACACAUGCAGGGAGACAUGUAAAUAAGUGAAGACUCCAGAAGUGAUGUCACAGCACCACCAGCCAACAGCUAAAAAACACAUUUGAAUGCAAGUUUAUAAAAAGGUCCCAGUACACUGCACUUUAGGAAUGUGGGUCAGUGUCAACUGUAUACAAAGAUAUAUAUUCCAACUAUUCUGCUGUGGUCGUUGAUUCUCCAUGUAAGUGUCAAUCUAGAUAUUUUACCUGACCGAAUCUGAUGCGCAAUUCAGACUCCGAAUAUAUUUUAUAACAGGCUUUUGUGAUUUUACAGCUAUUCUGCUAUUUGCAUGUAUGAUGCAUAAUGCAUUGCCUUCUGUCUUUUGGAUCAAAGCUUGUUUUUUUUAUUAUGAUUUACUGCAACGCCCCCACUGGACAUUUCAAAUGGCAUUUACUGUACUUUACUGUAGGCUACAUUUAUGUUCGUUAGCAGGUUUGGAUACAGUCAAGAUAAAACCAUUUUUACUAUAGAACAUUGAUUCUGGACCAUCCAUGGUGAUGCUUUUGUCGUACAACGAUUUUGGGAUCAAGAUAAUGUCAGACAAUGGAACGCUGUAUCGAAAUGUUGAUUUAUUUGGACAUAUUUGAUCUUACCUGACAAGGAGGAGGAGACGCACACAUCCUGACUCACCAAGCUCUGGGAUUUCUAUUCAUUUAGGAAAAUAAGUAAGAAAGAGAGACACAGAGAGAGAAAAAACACAAGUCCCCAUUCAUUUGCAACAGUUCGAUUCGGUUAUUUUUCAUCGCCUUGAAAGCUACUUGUUACCUUCAAAUAACAAGUAGCCUACCACCCACUGUAUAGCACAAUAAUGGCAUUUGUUUAUUUUUUAUCUUUUAUUCUUCAUUUCGGAGGGUUGUGUGUGUGUGUGUGUGUGUGUGUGUGUGUGUGUGUGUGUGUGUGUGUGUGUGUGUGUGUGUGUGUGUGUGUGUGUGUGUGUGUGUGUGUGUGUGUGUGUGAGAGAGAGGGAGAGAGAGAAAGAGAGAGAGAGAAAGAGAGAGAGAGAGAGAGAGAGGGAGAUCUAUUUCGCUUGCUUUGGCGAUGUAAACAUAUGUUUCCCAUGCCAAUAAAGCCCUUAAAUUUAACAUUGAGAGACAGAGAAAGAAUUAAGGGAGUGGCUCCAAUAAUUAGCGUCAUCUUUGCCAUCUUUGCCAUAUGUUCUGCCAAUUGCCAUGUGGACAUAAGAACAUAUUUUCUGAUUUUUGAAUCUACAUUUGCUAUAAAAUAUCACAUAAAACAACUGGAACUGUCCCUACAUGAACAAAUAUCCCACUGUUACUGCUAAACGUUCAUUGAUAGGCUACUAGAGAGUAGACCUGGUGGUCAAUCAUUAAUGAGACGUGCAACUUCGUGUUCGGGGUAAGGUUGGUGGCUGUUGCGGCAAUUGAGGAAGUGAUUGCAAUGGGGAUUUCAUGGAGAGAGCAACACCUCCAAUUAUACUGAGACUGUGUGUGUGAGUGUGUGUGUGUGUGUGUGUGUGUGUGUGUGUGUGUGUGUGUGUGUGUGUGUGUGUGUGUGUGUGUGUGUGUGUGUGUGUGUGUGUGUGUGUGUGUGUGUGUGUGUGUGGAGGGGGGGGUUACCAUUCUAACCGUUUUAGUUGAUGUCUGGAGAGCUCUUUUCUGUUGCAGCAACUGUUUAACUGUUGUCUUCACCCGCACACCCUGGUACACCUUUGGCUUAUCUGUCAAAAGAGAAAAACAUGGUGUCGAUGUUUACUGUAAACAAACUUGAAUGGUCCUAACCCUGCCACUCCUGAGCACUUUCACUGCCUGCUGCAUACUUUCACGCAACAAUUUAAUUAGGCCUAUUUAAUCAUUUAAAACAUUGGAAUAUUAUUAAAAACACACUUCAAUAUUACUAUAAGAUUGUUUUGAUCAGGGUGUUUAACGCAAUGUAUUACAUCUAUAAUUAUUUGUGAAUUUCAAACGAAUUAUGCAAUAUAGUAUGAACAAACGCUCAAAUGUUGCCGAGUUUAUUGUAUCAAAGUUGCCCAUGCGAAAGUGUCCUAAUAUUGUCCUACAUAGGUCUAUAUCCUCUGUAGCCUGCCUCUGCGAGAACCUCGCACGACAGAGACAGGGUUUCGAAUUUCACAGUCAAUACAGUGGGCUUGCCUUCACACUCAUUUCAAGCACAAAGGAAAGCUGUGCAAAAAUGACAUUGUAAAUGUAACGUUUCGAUUUUAUUUAGCUAAUAUGUUUCUUUUUAUUCUAUACAUAGGCCUAAAACACAGGUUAAGCGUUGCGAUCCAUGAAAGGGGGAUGAUAGCGGCAUAUUCCGUGAAAGUAGGGAAAUAAAGUUAGGCUACAGGUAAAGCGGGCAAACAACAGUCUGGUAAGAGUCAAUAACAAAGACCCAAAAGGACUCCACAAAUCCGGUGAAAAUAAGGUGAAAAUGGAAGACUUCGCUUGAGAAAUUCGUCCGAUUAUAAAAGAGGAACGUAAAAGAGAAGAACCAUGAUCCGAUGAAAAAAGAAUGCUAAACUUACCAGACAUGUUGUACAAAUUAAGAAGUACUCCUGGAAGAAGAGCAGUUAUGAGAUUCCACAAUGUCCUUUUCUGGCUGAGUUAUAUGGGCUAUAUCGAAAUAUUCAUAAAAGUCACAUAAAUUCUCAACACACAAGUCUUAAAACUGUCUCAGAGCAUACAAUAAUACCCUAAUAUAGCUAGGGAUAUAUUAGUUUGUGAAAUUUUCUCUCCAUGCCUACUUUUUAAAACCCCUAGAACUCAAUGAUUUGACAAUGAUUUGAUUGCGCGUUACUUUCAAUUUGAAUAUUCAAAGGCUACUCAAAAAUACAGAUUUUUCAGUAUAAAUCAAUACAUAUGCACUUAAAAUAACAUUUCAUUUAAUAUAAUUGAAUAAUAGUUUAUACCCAAACCAAAAAGAAAUUGACAUUUUGAACAUUUUAUCCAUCUUUUGCCAAUCUGCACAUCAGUCCCUCUUCAUAAUGAGGCACUACAGGAAAGUAACGGUUAGAUGUUCUAUGUAAACAUGACCAACAAUUAAACAUCGCAGAUCAUAUGUAUUUCAGGAUGGAUGAGCACAUCAACACGUUAUGACCAUUACAUUUUUAGUCUUAUUUUAAACAAUAAACUAUGACAUGUCUAGGUUGUGGGCGUGGCAUAUGGUAGCAGCCAUUUCUGCCAUCACUGACUCCAUUGCUCCCUCAGCAAUUGCAUGCUCCCCAUCACCGGAACUCACAUCACCCACGUCUUACCAAUUGUGUUAUAUUUCUUUUAGCAUUUUUUAGUGUAGUUACAUGAAUGAUAUAAUAUAAAGACUGAACGUUUCAGCCAUUCACAUGUCAAACCUGAUUUGACAUCCCAGGUCUCCUAUAUAUGAAUCGAGAAUACUAUCUACAAAUGUAUUACAAUGCAAAAAUUCGGUUUACAAACGUCUGAUAUAUUUUCAAUUCAAUGACAAGACUCCCCGAUUAGUCUACUUGUGUAGGCUAGAACUACUUAGAUGUGGACAAAGUCAUUUCAAUUGAUAGACUUAUUUGAAUAGGGUUACUGUCCAUACCAGUUUAAUUUUAUAAGAGUUUACAACUUAAUACAUAUGAUAUGAGAAAACAGCACAUUGCUUUAGAGAAAACCAUUUCCUAUAAAUGUUCUUCCAUUGUGAGCCUACAUUACAUUUGAAUAACAAUUUACAAACAUAUCAAACAAUGAACUCGAACCUAGUUUUAAUUCAAAUAGCUUAGAUUUCAUUUUUGGGGUAUCGAUCUAUCAUUAUCCUCACUCAUAUAUUGAGAAAAUGCACACACUAUCUGCCCAAUACAAUCUAUGGCCUUUCCUGAUUUGUACUGGUAGGGGCCUAUACAAUGAUCCCUAUUAUGUAGGCCUAAAUCCCAUCAUCUCCACUGGGUAGUUGUAUUGACAAACUUCUGACCUUCAAUAAAGUAGGACCUAGGUCCAUUAUCCUAACUACCAAGAAUAUUAUGCUAGUGCUCUCAUAGAAUAUCUAACGUUUGGCUUUUUAAAAUUAAUUUAUUGCUGCCGUUGCAAUCCCCCCCAUGAAUUACGCUAUCGUAAGAGACGAGGUAACACGAAAGAACCGCGCCAUCUAGUGUAGGAUAUACGUUAGUAGGUUCUCCCUAAGUCUUAAUUCGAUGUGGUGAUAACAGAACAAAGUAUAACUCAACAAACGGAAAAGGCAUGUUUUUUUCAUGUGUCAUUUUAGCAAAAAAAAUAUGUUUCAUUUUCAUGCAUUUAUUGCAGUGUCUUUUAUUAUAAUGGAUUUAUAAUAAAGAAUUCUACUGCCCUAUA